This 75-nucleotide transfer RNA is filed under the name Clostridia bacterium. Its description in RNAcentral is "tRNA-Gln". It matches the Rfam family "tRNA". Rfam says of the family: Transfer RNA (tRNA) molecules are approximately 80 nucleotides in length. Their secondary structure includes four short double-helical elements and three loops (D, anti-codon, and T loops). The record is from RNAcentral. Lineage: Bacteria; Bacillati; Bacillota; Clostridia.
AGGGAUGUAGCCGAGUGGUAAGGCAACGGACUUUGACUCCGUCAUUCGUAGGUUCAAAUCCUGCCAUCCCUGCCA